Molecule: ribosomal RNA, 347 nt
Filed under: uncultured bacterium
Lineage: Bacteria
Description: partial 16S ribosomal RNA
Rfam family: Bacterial small subunit ribosomal RNA
Source: RNAcentral
CCUACGGGAGGCAGCAGUGAGGAAUAUUGGUCAAUGGGCGCGAGCCUGAACCAGCCAAGUAGCAUGAAGGAUGACUGCCCUACGGGUUGUAAACUUCUUUUAUAAAGGAAUAAAGUGAGGCACGUGUGCCUUUUUGUAUGUACUUUAUGAAUAAGGAUCGGCUAACUCCGGGCCAGCAGCCGCGGUAAUACGGAGGAGCCGAGCGUUAUCCGGAUUUAUUGGGUUUAAAGGGAGCGUAGAUGGGUUGUUAAGUCAGUUGUGAAAGUUUGCGGCUCAACCGUAAAAUUGCAAUUGAUCCUGGCAUUCUUGUGUACAGUUGCGGUAGGCGGCAUUCGUGUUGUAGCGGU